UAGGGAAUCUUCCGCAAUGGGCGAAAGCCUGACGGAGCAACGCCGCGUGAGUGAUGAAGGUCUUCGGAUCGUAAAACUCUGUUAUUAGGGAAGAACAAAUGUGUAAGUAACUAUGCACGUCUUGACGGUACCUAAUCAGAAAGCCACGGCUAACUACGUGCCAGCAGCCGCGGUAAUACGUAGGUGGCAAGCGUUAUCCGGAAUUAUUGGGCGUAAAGCGCGCGUAGGCGGUUUUUUAAGUCUGAUGGGAAAGCCCACGGCUCAACCGUGGAGGGUCAUUGGAAACUGGAAAACUUGAGUGCAGAAGAGGAAAGUGGAAUUCCAUGUGUAGCGGUGAAAUGCGCAGAGAUAUGGAGGAACACCAGUGGCGAAGGCGACUUUCUGGUCUGUAACUGACGCUGAUGUGCGAAAGCGUGGGGAUCAAACAGG
This 429-nucleotide ribosomal RNA is filed under the name Actinomycetes bacterium. RNAcentral describes it as "Actinobacteria bacterium partial 16S ribosomal RNA". It matches the Rfam family "Bacterial small subunit ribosomal RNA", at positions 355 to 776 of the family's 1533-position model. The record is from RNAcentral. Lineage: Bacteria; Bacillati; Actinomycetota; Actinomycetes.